Molecule: ribosomal RNA, 933 nt
Filed under: uncultured bacterium
Lineage: Bacteria
Description: bacterial SSU rRNA
Rfam family: Bacterial small subunit ribosomal RNA
Source: RNAcentral
UCCCAGGUUCAACCCUGAACUCGUGCCUUGGACUGCAAGGCUAGAGAUACCGCUCAAAGGGGGUUGGAAUUCCACAGUGUAGCCAGUGAAAUACGUAGAAAUUGUGAAGUACCACCAAUGGCGAAGCAGCCCCAUUGGUCGGAUACUUGACGCCUCCAUGGCACCGGAAAGCGGUGGGUAGCCAAACAAAGGAUUAAGAUACCCUUGGUAGUCCACGCCCCUUAAACGAUGUCAACCUAGGUGUUUGGGGUGGGGUAAAACCCAUUUAGUACCGGAGCUAAACGCGUGAAAGUUGACCGCCUGGGGAGUACGGCCGCAAGGGUUAAAACUCAAAGGAAUUGACGGGGACCCGCACAAGCGGUGGAUGAUGUGGAUUAAUUCGAUGCAACGCGAAAAACCUUACCUACCCUUGACAUGUCCAGAAGCCUGAAGAGAUUUGGGUGUGCCCGAAAGGGAACUGGAACACAGGUGCUGCAUGGCUGUCGUCAGCUCGUGUCGUGAGAUGUUGGGUUAAGUCCCGCAACGAGCGCAACCCUUGUCGUUAAUUGCCAUCAUUUAGUUGGGCACUUUAACGAGACUGCCGGUGACAAACCGGAGGAAGGUGGGGAUGACGUCAAGUCCUCAUGGCCCUUAUGGGUAGGACUUCACACGUCAUACAAUGGUCGGUACAAAGGGUCGCCAACCCGCGAGGGGGAGCCAAUCCCAGAAAGCCGAUCGUAGUCCGGAUUGCAGGCUGCAACUCGCCUGCAUGAAGUCGGAAUCGCUAGUAAUCGUGGAUCAGCAUGUCACGGUGAAUACGUUCCCGGGUCUUGUACACACCGCCCGUCACACCAUGGGAGCGGGUUCCGCCAGAAGUAGGUAGCCUAACCGCAAGGAGGGCGCUUACCACGGCGGGGUUCGUGACUGGGGUGAAGUCGUAACAAGGUAACCGUA